CCUACGGGCGGCAGCAGUGGGGAAUAUUGGACAAUGGGCGCACGCCUGAUCCAGCUAUUCCGCGUGUGGGAUGACGGCCCUCUGGUUUUUAACCACUUUUGUAGAGGACGCAAAGACACCUUUUAAUAACGGGUGUUGCUGUCGGUACUCUAAGAAUAAGCACCGGCUCAAUACGUGCCAGCAGCCGCGGUAAUACGUAGGGUGCGAGCGUUAAUCGGACUUACUGGGCGUAAAGGGUGCGCAGGCGGUUGAGUAAGACAGAUGUGAAAUCCCCGGGCUCAACUCGGGAAUUGCAUAGGUGACUGCACGACUAGAGUGUAGCAGAGGGAGGUGGAAUUCCACGUGUAGCAGUGAAAUGCGUAGAUAGGUGGAAGAACACCGAUGGCGAAGGCAGCCUCCUGGGACAUAACUGACGCUCAGGCACGAAAGCGUGGGGAGCAAACAGGAUUAGAUACCCCAGUAGUC
This 465-nucleotide ribosomal RNA is filed under the name uncultured bacterium. RNAcentral's name for it is "partial 16S ribosomal RNA". It matches the Rfam family "Bacterial small subunit ribosomal RNA", at positions 338 to 795 of the family's 1533-position model. The record is from RNAcentral.